GAGAGUUUGAUCCUGGCUCAGGACGAACGCUGGCGGCGUGCCUAAUACAUGCAAGUAGAACGCUGAAGAGAGGAGCUUGCUCUUCUUGGAUGAGUUGCGAACGGGUGAGUAACGCGUAGGUAACCUGCCUUGUAGCGGGGGAUAACUAUUGGAAACGAUAGCUAAUACCGCAUAACAAUGGAUGACACAUGUCAUUUAUUUGAAAGGGGCAAUUGCUCCACUACAAGAUGGACCUGCGUUGUAUUAGCUAGUAGGUGAGGUAACGGCUCACCUAGGCGACGAUACAUAGCCGACCUGAGAGGGUGAUCGGCCACACUGGGACUGAGACACGGCCCAGACUCCUACGGGAGGCAGCAGUAGGGAAUCUUCGGCAAUGGGGGCAACCCUGACCGAGCAACGCCGCGUGAGUGAAGAAGGUUUUCGGAUCGUAAAGCUCUGUUGUAAGUCAAGAACGAGUGUGAGAGUGGAAAGUUCACACUGUGACGGUAGCUUACCAGAAAGGGACGGCUAACUACGUGCCAGCAGCCGCGGUAAUACGUAGGUCCCGAGCGUUGUCCGGAUUUAUUGGGCGUAAAGCGAGCGCAGGCGGUUUGAUAAGUCUGAAGUUAAAGGCUGUGGCUCAACCAUAGUUCGCUUUGGAAACUGUCAAACUUGAGUGCAGAAGGGGAGAGUGGAAUUCCAUGUGUAGCGGUGAAAUGCGUAGAUAUAUGGAGGAACACCGGUGGCGAAAGCGGCUCUCUGGUCUGUAACUGACGCUGAGGCUCGAAAGCGUGGGGAGCGAACAGGAUUAGAUACCCUGGUAGUCCACGCCGUAAACGAUGAGUGCUAGGUGUUGGAUCCUUUCCGGGAUUCAGUGCCGCAGCUAACGCAUUAAGCACUCCGCCUGGGGAGUACGACCGCAAGGUUGAAACUCAAAGGAAUUGACGGGGGCCCGCACAAGCGGUGGAGCAUGUGGUUUAAUUCGAAGCAACGCGAAGAACCUUACCAGGUCUUGACAUCCCGAUGCUAUUUCUAGAGAUAGAAAGUUACUUCGGUACAUCGGUGACAGGUGGUGCAUGGUUGUCGUCAGCUCGUGUCGUGAGAUGUUGGGUUAAGUCCCGCAACGAGCGCAACCCCUAUUGUUAGUUGCCAUCAUUCAGUUGGGCACUCUAGCGAGACUGCCGGUAAUAAACCGGAGGAAGGUGGGGAUGACGUCAAAUCAUCAUGCCCCUUAUGACCUGGGCUUCACACGUGCUACAAUGGUUGGUACAACGAGUUGCGAGUCGGUGACGGCAAGCUAAUCUCUUAAAGCCAAUCUCAGUUCGGAUUGUAGGCUGCAACUCGCCUACAUGAAGUCGGAAUCGCUAGUAAUCGCGGAUCAGCACGCCGCGGUGAAUACGUUCCCGGGCCUUGUACACACCGCCCGUCACACCACGAGAGUUUGUAACACCCGAAGUCGGUGAGGUAACCUUUUGGAGCCAGCCGCCUAAGGUGGGAUAGAUGAUUGGGGUGAAGUCGUAACAAGGUAGCCGUAG
This 1514-nucleotide ribosomal RNA is filed under the name uncultured bacterium. RNAcentral describes it as "16S ribosomal RNA". It matches the Rfam family "Bacterial small subunit ribosomal RNA". The record is from RNAcentral.